This 1346-nucleotide ribosomal RNA is filed under the name uncultured bacterium. RNAcentral's name for it is "partial 16S ribosomal RNA". It matches the Rfam family "Bacterial small subunit ribosomal RNA", at positions 28 to 1381 of the family's 1533-position model. The record is from RNAcentral.
GACGAACGUUGGCGGCGUGCUUAACACAUGCAAGUCGAACGGAAAGGCCCUGCUUUUGUGGGGUGCUCGAGUGGCGAACGGGUGAGUAACACGUGAGUAACCUGCCCUUGACUUUGGGAUAACUUCAGGAAACUGGGGCUAAUACCGGAUAGGAGCUCCUGCUGCAUGGUGGGGGUUGGAAAGUUUCGGCGGUUGGGGAUGGACUCGCGGCUUAUCAGCUUGUUGGUGGGGUAGUGGCUUACCAAGGCUUUGACGGGUAGCCGGCCUGAGAGGGUGACCGGCCACAUUGGGACUGAGAUACGGCCCAGACUCCUACGGGAGGCAGCAGUGGGGAAUAUUGCACAAUGGGCGGAAGCCUGAUGCAGCAACGCCGCGUGCGGGAUGACGGCCUUCGGGUUGUAAACCGCUUUCGCCUGUGACGAAGCGUGAGUGACGGUAAUGGGUAAAGAAGCACCGGCUAACUACGUGCCAGCAGCCGCGGUGAUACGUAGGGUGCGAGCGUUGUCCGGAUUUAUUGGGCGUAAAGGGCUCGUAGGUGGUUGAUCGCGUCGGAAGUGUAAUCUUGGGGCUUAACCCUGAGCGUGCUUUCGAUACGGGUUGACUUGAGGAAGGUAGGGGAGAAUGGAAUUCCUGGUGGAGCGGUGGAAUGCGCAGAUAUCAGGAGGAACACCAGUGGCGAAGGCGGUUCUCUGGGCCUUUCCUGACGCUGAGGAGCGAAAGCGUGGGGAGCGAACAGGCUUAGAUACCCUGGUAGUCCGCGCUGUAAACGGUGGGUACUAGGUGUGGGGUCCAUUCCACGGGUUCCGUGCCGUAGCUAACGCUUUAAGUACCCCGCCUGGGGAGUACGGCCGCAAGGCUAAAACUCAAAGGAAUUGACGGGGCCCCGCACAAGCGGCGGAGCAUGCGGAUUAAUUCGAUGCAACGCGUAGAACCUUACCUGGGUUUGACAUGGAUCGGGAGUGCUCAGAGAUGGGUGUGCCUCUUUUGGGGUCGGUUCACAGGUGGUGCAUGCCUGUCGUCAGCUCGUGUCGUGAGAUGUUGGGUUAAGUCCCGCAACGAGCGCAACCCUUGUUCACUGUUGCCAGCACGUUAUGGUGGGGACUCAGUGGAGACCGCCGGGGUCAACUCGGAGGAAGGUGGGGAUGACGUCAAGUCAUCAUGCCCCUUAUGUCCAGGGCUUCACGCAUGCUACAAUGGCUGGUACAGAGAGUGGCGAGCCUGUGAGGGUGAGCGAAUCUCGGAAAGCCGGUCUCAGUUCGGAUUGGGGUCUGCAACUCGACCUCAUGAAGUCGGAGUCGCUAGUAAUCGCAAAUCAGCAACGCUGCGGUGAAUACGUUCCCGGGGCU